UUCCUUCAUUUUUCUCCUUCUCCUUUGCAAGGUCAACUAUCAACCCAUUUCUUUCUUCCUCCAAUUCAGCAACUCUGGAUUGCAGCCUUGCUAUCUCAGCAUCCUUUGUUCCAAUCUCCUGAAUCAAGGAUCUGACCUUGCUAUUCACAGGAGUCUUCACUGAUGAACUAGGCUAAACUGUUGUCCACUCAAAUUUACUAAGCCCUCAGCAGCUUCUCUUGAGCCACUUCCCCCAGACUUCGAGCUUCCCCCUUCCCCACUACCACAUAUAGCUAACACUUCCUUCUUCUUUUUCUUCCUUAUUUUCCCAGACUCAGCCCCAUCAACAUCUUUAGUAGCCCCUAUCAGAACAAACCUAUUUUCUCCAUCUGAACUACAUCAGAAAAUACAAAACACGAGUUUACCUCUCUUUUGGUUUCUUGAGAUUUGGCAGAAGAUCCAGGUUCAUCUCCUUCACUGGCAGAGAAUAGAGAUGUAAUCAUCAGAUUCAGAGUUUGAGGCAGUCUCUUUGGUUGGAGAUUCUUUUCUUUGUUUGGCCUUCAAUCUCUCUUUUAGAGCUUUCUUCAAAGGACUAGAAGCAACCGUUUUUCUUGCUAGAAUUUUCUGACGAUGAAUCUAGGUUUAGGGUUUUCAAUCGAUGGUGUGGAAGAUGAGGUGGUGUUAGGUGAGACUAGUGGUGGAGUUCCUGGAUUUUCUUGGGGAUUUGUCAUGGUGGAGAAUUUAUGUAAAUCUUAGGAGAAUAUUGGAGAAAAGAAUGGACGAUCA
RNAcentral lists this long non-coding RNA (765 nucleotides) under Nicotiana benthamiana. Its description in RNAcentral is "long non-coding RNA (NBEN_LNC018945)". The record is from RNAcentral. Lineage: Eukaryota; Viridiplantae; Streptophyta; Magnoliopsida; Solanales; Solanaceae.